This 274-nucleotide ribosomal RNA is filed under the name uncultured prokaryote. RNAcentral describes it as "partial 16S ribosomal RNA". It matches the Rfam family "Bacterial small subunit ribosomal RNA", at positions 524 to 798 of the family's 1533-position model. The record is from RNAcentral.
UACGGAGGAUCCGAGCGUUAUCCGGAUUUAUUGGGUUUAAAGGGUGCGCAGGCGGGAGAUUAAGUCGGCGGUGAAAUUUUGCAGCUCAACUGUAAAAGUGCCUUCGAAACUGGUUUCCUUGAGUGUAGAUGAAGUAGGCGGAAUUUGUGGUGUAGCGGUGAAAUGCAUAGAUAUCACGAGGAACUCCGAUUGCGCAGGCAGCUUACUAAACUACUACUGACGCUCAGGCACGAAGGCGUGGGAUCAAACAGGAUUAGAUACCCCGGUAGUCCCU